GUCAUCGUUUUGUGUCAUCUUCGAAACAAAAUCCCUGGUAUAUUUUCUUCGAACAAUCUAGUUUGUGUCGUAUUCAGAACCGUCAAUGAAACCAUGUCUCUGUUCCUAUACCCAGUUGAAUACUAUAUCUGAUCCAAAAAUUACAAACUCCCAAUUUUGCAAUUCUUCGAUGAUUGAAGUAAGAGAUGUCUUAGUCAAAUAGAUUCAUUGAAGAAUGGAUCCGAUCCUAGUUUUCGGUUGAUACAACAUACGACCUCCUUGCCAAUUCCAUUAAUCGGGUUUAUGAUUUUAAGCAUCCGAUUGGUAAAAGAGUAUCAUAUAAUGGAGAAGAAGACAUCUAAAAAGAACACCUAAUUAUAUAUGUAAGGCACAAUCAGUCUCUGAAACUUGGAUAUCUGUUGCUUCUUGACUGUAGCGUGGAUCAAAGUUCCCUACCGAGAAAACAAAGGAUCCAGCUAGGACCAUUUCAAUGGUCUCACCGGAGUAAGUGGUAUACUGCUGCCAGCUAUGGACGAUUUAGACCUGGAUUCUCCAGCAAGUCUUGAAUGGCUUGAUGGAUGCUAGAUUAGUUAUUGCAAGAUUUGCUGCCAUUUUGAAAGCGAUUCCUGCAGAAGGUUGGUGAGAUAUGAUCUUCAGUUGUAAACGGGUGACCCAUCUUUUUAAUUCGGUUUUUUUCUCACCCUGAUCCGUUUCUUUAAUUUCGGGUUGUUUUCACUUAAUUGACCCGACCCAUGUUCGAUUUUGUACUUCUCUUUUACUUAUAUAGGGAUAAAGAUGAUUUGUAGGUGUAGUAGUUUACAUCAAAUACUGGUUAUUCGUAUUUGACCCGUUUCAAAAAUAAGGGUAACAAUGACUUUAAAGUCGGGUACAUUAUCGAGUACUGAUUUUCUUA
This is a long non-coding RNA of Camelina sativa (false flax), 892 nucleotides long. RefSeq lists it as uncharacterized. The record is from RefSeq and is a predicted model, not a curated record. Lineage: Eukaryota; Viridiplantae; Streptophyta; Magnoliopsida; Brassicales; Brassicaceae.